Molecule: long non-coding RNA, 1426 nt
Organism: Lycium barbarum (goji berry)
Lineage: Eukaryota; Viridiplantae; Streptophyta; Magnoliopsida; Solanales; Solanaceae
Exons: 5
Source: RefSeq, a predicted model, not a curated record
AAAAAGACCUGUUUAUUCAAAUUGCCAAUUGAAUACAUUACAUAUUCAUACGAAACAUUUUCUCGUAACGGUAGAGUACAAUUUCAAUUUUUGACUAGUGACGUAACAAUGGAGAUUAAUCGAUUUCUCUGAAUCUUAAAUAAGUUUGGUCAACCAAAUCCUUUAUUUUGGUUUUUACGCCCACUAAUUAGAUUCUAUAAUAAUUACUAGUAUAACGUAAUAACAAAGCCCCAAAAUUAGCUUAGUUGGAAACAGAUGAUCUUCCCUUGAUUUCAUCGGAAAGUUUUGGCAUUAAACAACACCCAUUCAUCUAAUUUCUUCCUUACAAUGCCGGUGGUCCUUUUCCUCUCCCACCCUCCAUUUUGCUACAUUUAUGUAAUGUGUUGAGGGAUAAUCCGGUAGUCAUAUAAGAGCUACUGAGCAAGCUGGUAUGGCAAAUCUAGAAGCUUCUACAGGAAUUGGGAAAACCAGGUCCUCCUAGUGAAUUAUGCGAGAUCUUCAAAGGAGGCAGAAGAAGUUUCCAAAGAGUUGAAAGUUGAGGCCAUGGAACAGUAUUUCUGACUUCCGAGUGAUGUUUGGAAGAGUAUUCCCGCACUUCUUUCACCAUUAUGAGUGCUGAAUGAUUCAUAUUGAGGGACCUGUGGCAAAUGCAUCAUAUAUACUUGGAUGCCUUAAAGGAUACUCUCAGUUCUACAUUUUCUGAAGUGAAGAGCAAGGUCUCCUAUAACUCCGAAAACUGGCUGAGUCCUAAGUAAUGUGGAGAUGUCUGGUGACCAGUCAAGUCAUGAUGCUUGUUUAUUUUGUGCAGCGAGAAGAUUGGCUUGUUCUUGUAUGUGUUUGUAUUUAGUAGCUGAUGCUACUAGCAGGACUAAGUUUUUAUUUUGUGCGUAAUGGUUAAUGCUUGUUUGACAAAUAACAAAAGCUUACCAGGAGUGCCAAAAAACUCUAGUGUCUCCAAUUCCUGAACACCCCACCCCCCGGCUAACCCAAUGCUAUUAUACUAUGACUUGGGUUCUCCUUACCCACAUGAAAGUACCUUUCCUUACCAAUUUGCCUUCAUAAAGAAAAAGAUUGAAUGCCAUGCUUCUAAAAUGUGGGGGUUCAAUGGGGAGAACAGAUUGGCAUUGUUAGCGGCACAUUAUCAGGAAUGGAUUUAAUCAACAGAUUCCCCGUGCUUGCUCAGGUUGGAUUGUUUUGUAUUAGCUGAUGCUUACCAAAUUUUGUAAGGUUAAGUUUCUAUUUCAUGCGUAAUAACAGUAGACUGUCUAACAACUUGUUUGCCAAAUCCUUUCAUUAAGUGCUAUGUAGAAUGUUUAACAGUAGCUCAUGGAGUGCUUGUUUCAUCCGCAAUCUGAGAACAGCUAUAAGGUUCAUCUGUAGUCCUUUUGACGUCUUCCCCUAAAUUGAAUUUAAUUUCCUAUUUUGU